RNAcentral lists this non-coding RNA (69 nucleotides) under Stygamoeba regulata. Lineage: Eukaryota; Discosea; Stygamoebida. The record is from RNAcentral.
AAGUCACAUACACUCUUUCUUUCUUUUCUUUCUUUUCUCUCUUUCUUUCUUUCUCUCUUUCUUUCUCUC